Centropristis striata (black sea bass) is the source of this 336-nucleotide long non-coding RNA. RefSeq lists it as uncharacterized. NCBI's taxonomy places the organism in Eukaryota, Metazoa, Chordata, Actinopteri, Perciformes, Serranidae. The record is from RefSeq and is a predicted model, not a curated record. The transcript is spliced from 3 exons.
AAUGUUUCUUCAAUGAUUUUCUGGUAAUAUUUUACAUUUUUCAUGCUCUGGACAAAUCUCAGCACCAAAACCAACAACAGCAAUGAAUGUAUGCUUUCGUACAGUAUAGGGUAAAAAUUUUAGAUGAACACACUCGGGGAUCCCAGUGAUCGGCUGAGCCGUCCCACUGUGUGUGUAGGGGACGAAAAUGGCCCCUGUACAUCCUGAGGAGGAUCAUCUUCCACUCAGGAAUGUCCCACUCCACCCCUGGACAACUGAAACUCUACCUGAAACCUUUUUGGCAAUAGGGUCCACGCCCAAAUACCAUCAGUCAUGUUGUCAGGUAGAUCAGACAGG